GACACGGUCCAGACUCCUACGGGAGGCAGCNGUGGGGAAUAUUGCACAAUGGGCGCAAGCCUGAUGCAGCCAUGCCGCGUGUGUGAAGAAGGCCUUCGGGUUGUAAAGCACUUUCAGUUGUGAGGAAAGGUUAGUAGUUAAUACCUGCUAGCUAUGACGUUAGCAACAGAAGAAGCACCGGCUAACUCCGUGCCAGCAGCCGCGGUAAUACGGAGGGUGCGAGCGUUAAUCGGAAUUACUGGGCGUAAAGCGUACGCAGGCGGUUUGUUAAGCGAGAUGUGAAAGCCCCGGGCUCAACCUGGGAACUGCAUUUCGAACUGGCAAACUAGAGUGUGAUAGAGGGUGGUAGAAUUUCAGGUGUAGCGUGAAAUGCGUAGAGAUCUGAAGGAAUACCGAUGGCGAAGGCNGCCACCUGGGUCAACACUGACGCUCAUGUACAAAGCUUGGGGAGCAAACGGGAUUAGAUACCCCGGU
Molecule: ribosomal RNA, 474 nt
Filed under: Pseudoalteromonas sp. TWD5.2D
Lineage: Bacteria; Pseudomonadati; Pseudomonadota; Gammaproteobacteria; Alteromonadales; Pseudoalteromonadaceae
Description: bacterial SSU rRNA
Rfam family: Bacterial small subunit ribosomal RNA
Source: RNAcentral